Molecule: ribosomal RNA, 326 nt
Filed under: Liatongus militaris
Lineage: Eukaryota; Metazoa; Arthropoda; Insecta; Coleoptera; Scarabaeidae
Description: partial 16S ribosomal RNA
Source: RNAcentral
AAAGUCUGACCUGCUCUAUGAUUAAGUAUUAAAUGGCCGCGAUAUUUUGAUCGUGCAAAGGUAGCAUAAUCAUUAGUUUCUUAAUUAGGAACUGGUAUGAAAGGUUGGACAAGAAAAAUACUGUCUCAAUUUAAUUUAAUUAGAAUUUUAUUUUUAAGUCAAAAAGCUUAAAUAAUUUUAAAAGACGAGAAGACCCUAUAGAGUUUUAUAUUAAUAAUUUUAAAAUAAAGUUAAGAAUUAAAUUUUUUUUAUUAAUAAUUAAUAUUUAGUUGGGGUGACUAAAAAAUUGAAUAAACUUUUAUUUUAUAAUAUUCAUUGAUUUAUGA